AGUUCGAUUCUGGCUCAGAUUGAACGCUGGCGGGAUGCUUUACACACAUGCAAAGUCGAGUGGCAGCACGGACUUCGGUCUGGUGGCGAGUGGCGAACGGGUGAGUAAUGUAUCGGAACGUGCCUAGUAGCGGGGAUAACUACGCGAAAGCGUAGCUACUACCGCAUACGCCCUUCGGGGGAAAGCGGGGACCUUCGGGCCUCGCACUAUUAGAGCGGCCGAUAUCGGAUUAGCUAGUUGGUGGGGUAACGGCUCACCAAGGCGACGAUCCGUAGCUGGUUUGAGAGGACGACCAGCCACACUGGGACUGGACACGGCCCAGACUCCUACGGGAGGCAGCAGUGGGGAAUUUUGACAAUGGGGGAACCCUGAUCCAGCCAUCCUCCAAGCGUGUGCGAUGAAGGCCUUUGCCGUAGCACUUUUUGGCAGGAAAAAGAAACGGCACGGGAUAUCACCCCGUGCAACUGACGGUACCUGCAGAAUAAGCACCGGCUAACUACGUGCCAGCAGCCGCGGUAAUACGUAGGGUGCAAGCGUUAAUCGGAAUUACUGGGCGUAAAAGCGUGCGCAGGCGGUUCGGAAAGAAAAGAUGUAAAAUCCCAGAGCUUAACUUUGAACUGUAUUUUAACCGUCGACUUGAUGCGGCGCCGAGUAGGCGUAACCCUGCAGCAGUGAAAUGCGCAGAGGCGAGGAACACCGAUGGCGAAGGCAGCCUCUGGGAUAACACUGAUUGCCCAUGCACGAAAGCGUGGGGAGCAAACAGAUUAGAUACCCUGGUAGUCCACGCCCUAAACGAUGUCAACUAGCCGUUGGGGCCUUCGGGCCUGGUAGCGCAGCUAACGCGGUGAAGUUGACCGCCUGGGGAGUACGGUCGCAAGAUUAAAACUCAAAGGAAUUGACGGGACUCCGCACAAGCGGUGGAUGAUGUGGAUUACCCGAUGCAACGCGAAAACCUUACCUACCCUUGACAUGUCUGGAAUCCCGAAGAGAUUUGGGAGUGCUCGCAAGAGAACCGGAACACAGGUGCUGCAUGGUUGUCGUCAGCUCGUGUCGUGAGACGUUGGGUUAAGUCCCGCAACGAGCGCAACCCUUGUCAUUAGUUGCUACGAAAGGGCACUCUAAUGAGACUUGCCGGUGACAAACCGAGGAAGGUGGGGAUGACGUCAAGUCCUCAUGGCCCUUAUGGGCAGGGCUUCACACGUCAUACAAUGGUCGGGACAGAGGGUCGCCAACUCCGCGAGAGGGGGAGCCAAUCCCAGAAACCCGAUCAGUCCGAUCGCAGUCUGCAACUCGACUGCGUGAAGUCGGAAUCGCUAGUAAUCGCGGAUCAGCAUGUCGCGGUGAAUACGUUCCCGGGUCUUUAAAGACACCUCGCCCGUCACACCAUGGGAGUGGGGUUUACCAGAAGUAGUUAGCCUAACCGUAAGGAGGGUAUGAUUACCACGGUAGGAUUCGCGACUGGGGUGAAGUCGUAACAAGGUAA
This 1483-nucleotide ribosomal RNA is filed under the name uncultured Bordetella sp. Its description in RNAcentral is "partial 16S-23S ribosomal RNA intergenic spacer". It matches the Rfam family "Bacterial small subunit ribosomal RNA". The record is from RNAcentral. Lineage: Bacteria; Pseudomonadati; Pseudomonadota; Betaproteobacteria; Burkholderiales; Alcaligenaceae.